CUACAUUUAAAUAAAGUUAUUUAACUGACCUGUUUAAGCUGCAAUUGUGGGAAGAGAAUAGAAUUCUCUUCCCACAACAUUUUUUAAAUAUCACUUCUCCUACGCAUCUAAGCGCACAUGUGAAAAUGAGGGGAAAUGCUUGCUGCCAGCGAUGGUAGAAGUCUUGGACUUGCAACCACAAGGGUGCAAUUUCUGGUUUUGAAAGCAGCUGUGGUGGGAGCUUAACCGGGUGAUAGGUUUUACAGUGCCUUAUUGUGUUUAAAUGUACCUGCAUAGGUUUGUUUAUUUAAAAAGACUGU
Long non-coding RNA from Populus euphratica (Euphrates poplar), 299 nucleotides. RefSeq lists it as uncharacterized. The record is from RefSeq and is a predicted model, not a curated record. The transcript is spliced from 3 exons. NCBI's taxonomy places the organism in Eukaryota, Viridiplantae, Streptophyta, Magnoliopsida, Malpighiales, Salicaceae.